Molecule: ribosomal RNA, 496 nt
Filed under: uncultured bacterium
Lineage: Bacteria
Description: partial 16S ribosomal RNA
Rfam family: Bacterial small subunit ribosomal RNA
Source: RNAcentral
AUGAACGCUGGCGGCGUGCCUAAUACAUGCAAGUCGAGCGAACGGACGAGAAGCUUGCUUCUCUGAUGUUAGCGGCGGACGGGUGAGUAACACGUGGAUAACCUGCCUAUAAGACUGGGAUAACUUCGGGAAACCGGAGCUAAUACCGGAUGAUAUUUUGAACCGCAUGGUUCAAAAGUGAAAGACGGUCUUGCUGUCACUUAUAGAUGGAUCCGCGCUGCAUUAGCUAGUUGGUAAGGUAACGGCUUACCAAGGCAACGAUGCAUAGCCGACCUGAGAGGGUGAUCGGCCACACUGGAACUGAGACACGGUCCAGACUCCUACGGGAGGCAGCAGUAGGGAAUCUUCCGCAAUGGGCGAAAGCCUGACGGAGCAACGCCGCGUGAGUGAUGAAGGUCUUCGGAUCGUAAAACUCUGUUAUUAGGGAAGAACAUAUGUGUAAGUAACUGUGCACAUCUUGACGGUACCUAAUCAGAAAGCCACGGCUAACUACGUG